UAGGAGCUAUCAGAACUUAGUG
This 22-nucleotide microRNA is filed under the name Macaca mulatta (Rhesus monkey). RNAcentral describes it as "mml-miR-7178-5p". Lineage: Eukaryota; Metazoa; Chordata; Mammalia; Primates; Cercopithecidae. The record is from miRBase by way of RNAcentral.